CAGCAGCCACGGUAAUGCGUAGGUGGCAAGCGUUGUCCGGAAUUAUUGGGCGUAAAGGGCUCGCAGGCGGUUUCUUAAGUCUGAUGUGAAAGCCCCCGGCUCAACCGGGGAGGGUCAUUGGAAACUGGGAAACUUGAGUGCAGAAGAGGAGAGUGGAAUUCCACGUGUGGCGGUGAAAUGCGUAGAGAUGUGGAGGAACACCAGUGGCGAAGGCGACUCUCUGGUCUGUAACUGACGCUGAGGCUCGAAAGCGUGGGGAGCAAACAGGAUUAGAUACCCCUGUAGUCCCUGUCUCUUAUAU
This 301-nucleotide ribosomal RNA is filed under the name uncultured bacterium. Its description in RNAcentral is "partial 16S ribosomal RNA". It matches the Rfam family "Bacterial small subunit ribosomal RNA", at positions 509 to 809 of the family's 1533-position model. The record is from RNAcentral.